UGGGAUGUGGCUCAGUGGUAGAGCACUUGCCUAGCAUGUAUGAGGCACUGGGUUCAAUUCUCAGUACCACAU
This 72-nucleotide transfer RNA is filed under the name Ictidomys tridecemlineatus (thirteen-lined ground squirrel). RNAcentral's name for it is "Spermophilus tridecemlineatus (thirteen-lined ground squirrel) tRNA". It matches the Rfam family "tRNA". Rfam says of the family: Transfer RNA (tRNA) molecules are approximately 80 nucleotides in length. Lineage: Eukaryota; Metazoa; Chordata; Mammalia; Rodentia; Sciuridae. The record is from Rfam by way of RNAcentral.